Molecule: ribosomal RNA, 453 nt
Filed under: uncultured cyanobacterium
Lineage: Bacteria; Bacillati; Cyanobacteriota
Description: bacterial SSU rRNA
Rfam family: Bacterial small subunit ribosomal RNA
Source: RNAcentral
GAUGAACGCUGGCGGCGUGCUUAACACAUGCAAGUCGAACGAACCUUCGGGUUAGUGGCGGACGGGUGAGUAACGCGUGAGAAUCUGCCCUCAGGAGGGGGACAACAGCUGGAAACGGCUGCUAAUACCCCAUAUGCCGCGAGGUGAAAUGAAUUUCGCCUGAGGAUGGGCUCGCGUCUGAUUAGCUAGUUGGUGUAGGUAAUGGCUCACCAAGGCAUCGAUCAGUAGCUGGUCUGAGAGGAUGAUCAGCCACACUGGGACUGAGACACGGCCCAGACUCCUACGGGAGGCAGCAGUGGGGAAUUUUCCGCAAUGGGCGAAAGCCUGACGGAGCAACGCCGCGUGAGGGAUGAAGGCCUCUGGGCUGUAAACCUCUUUUAUCAAGGAAGAAGAUCUGACGGUACUUGAUGAAUAAGCCACGGCUAAUUCCGUGCCAGCAGCCGCCGCGGUAAC